Molecule: long non-coding RNA, 2079 nt
Organism: Alligator mississippiensis (American alligator)
Lineage: Eukaryota; Metazoa; Chordata; Crocodylia; Alligatoridae
Exons: 4
Source: RefSeq, a predicted model, not a curated record
AGGGCCCUAGGAGCCAGGUAGAAACCACACAGGUGCAGGUUGCUGUGGCAACAGGCUAACGAGGAAAUUAGCCUGCACCUGCACCCAGUCAGCUGACCGGAAGACGGCAGGGCCUGGGGCACAUAUGAACCCCAGGACUGAGGCCAGCAGGGGUUAGUUCUCUGACAGCAGCCAGGGGAAGGAGUGUGCAGAAAAGAACUGCUCAGAGAUGCUGUGGGUGCCUGAUAUGCCGCUUACAGGACUAACAGGGUUCCCGGAGCUCACCAGCCAGUGAGGAUGAAGCCUAGAGGACAUCUUAUCAAUGACUGAAGACAAAAGAAUAACUUUCUUCCAACUCGCUGAAGGAACGGUCUGCCACUGAAACAAGAUAACCAGUACACUGCCUGAGAAAAAAAAAGCACUCUGAGAUCUGGAAGCAAGUAUAAAACAGAAGGUUCUUCUUCCUUCCUCAGUCUAAUGACUGUAGGCCCAAGCUACACUAGGAAAAUUUGCAUCAGUGAUGUUGGAGCAACUUACACCUGCUUAAGCCACUUAUGAUUUGUCUUCAGCCAGGAUUUAUACGUCCCUGCAAAUUUCUCUAAUGUAGUCAGUACUUAAUCAGGAGAUAUUCAGGGAAAAUAGCCUAGCUUCAGUGAAAUCAGUGAAGUAACUCUGCAUUUAAGUAUAUUAAAUAUAUAUAACUGUGUCAGAAUGUUAUGUGUUGUCAUUUAAACUACAAGGUGUGUUUUUUAAAUACAAUCCAUUUCAGAUACCAAUUCAUUAAUUUAACAAAGUUAAAUCUCUGUACAAAGGGCUGCCAUAAUUAGGUAAAUAUCUGUCUUAAAAUAUCAUUACACACAGCAAACAUGUAGGAUGUGUCUUUACUGCCAAAAAGUGAUAUUUUUAGAUAAUUAACUUAACAUUAACUACCCAGGUGUAAACUUGUAGUGGAGAUAAAGCACAGGCAGUUUGUACUUGGAUGUAGCUUUCCAAGAUUAACACUGUUCCAUCUAUUCUCACCUAGUUACAACUAAGUAAAAAGCAGACUGCUUUUUCUCAGCUACAGUAAUAUAGGUCUCCUGAGGUGUAAAACACACCUUUUUUGCUCCCAACAUCAUAUAAACAAAGAGCAGUUCUGUGACAGCUCUUUAGAGAGGGUACCUCACUGUUAAGCAGACAUGUAGUUGAAUUUCACUCAAACAGACAAGUUUCCAGUCAUUUGAAAAAGGGUACAAAUUAAAAUAAAAAUACAUAUAAUGCACAUUAAAAAUAAUUACAAGGUGAUCUGCAAAAGUUCCUCAUCAGCUAGGAUUUGAAAUCCAAACACUAAAACUUAUGUAAAUCUUUUGUAAUGGUUACAGAUCAUGUUACUGUCAAAAAGAGAUAUGUAUAUGAAGUAAAAAAUAUAUAUUUCCCCAGAAGUUGUACAAAAACUGCUUUUCUCUCAUUAUUUAUAAUGUAUUUGCUUAGUUACCAACUAUGCUACUGGACACCAAUCUUAUCUUCCAACCCUCUCCCACCCCCAAGGAUUUAACUUCCACCUUGGCAGAUAAGUUUUGGAGAUUAUUUUAAACUUUGUGAGGAUGCACUAGCUUGUCAUGGGUGCUGAAAGUCUUUACUUUUCUGUUUGAGUGAAAUUCAGCUACAUGUAGAGGGCUUAUACAAAUUCCUGCACUACCCUGAUUGAUCUAGGUUUCUGUAUAGUGCCCCAUCAGCAGAGAUAUAACAGAUGGGUUGAACUGAAAGCAAAAUGAGAGACAAAUCUCUCCCCCUCUUUCUCUCUCUCUCUUUCUCUCUCUCCCCUUUCCUCCUUAACUAUAAGAAUUUCUAAAAGUGCACGCAGGGUAGUGGAUGCACUUUAUAGACCAGUGGUUCUGUUUUCUUAGUCAGCUUCAAAGCACCUCUAGGUAGACCCAAGGUGCCCCUCAGAAAAUGUCAGCUCUUCGUUUUCUCUCAUUUUUUGUUUACAGGGAAAUGAUAGAGCAAUUCUUUUGUUGCAUCAGGUUGGAAUAUUUUGAACACUAUAGAUUCCUAUUUAAAAUCUUUGUGUUUAUUUUGUGAAUCAUGUUUGUACGCCUAACAGUGCUACCAUUGUUUGUC